UCUCUUUGAUCUCCUGGGUAUAGAGGCCUAGCAGUGGUAUUACUAGGUCAAAGGAUGUGGACACUUUAGUAACUUUUUGGGCUUGCCUCCAAACUUUUCUAGAAUGGUCAGACUGAUUCCCAGCUCCACCCCUAAUACAUUAAUGUGCCUCUUUUCCUGCAGUUAUUCUAACAUGCCAUUUUCCUGUUUUGUCAUCUUUGCCAGACUGAUGGGCAUAAAUGAUCCAUUAUUCAGAGGGACAUAUGAGAAAGAAUGCUAUCCACAUCCAGAGGAAGAACUGUGGGAAAAGAAACACAGAAGAAAAACAACUGCUUGAUCACAGUGUGACAGAGAAGCCAUUGGACUCUAACAACAUCGGAGCCCUUGCAUCCAUUGGGCGAAAAGAACCAACUUCUUCUUUUUGGUAUCCCUUCCACAUGGGGGGAUCAGGGGUGCAGUGUCCCUGUGAACUGGAAAAUCCAAGUGAAAUUUUUUUAGUCCUCCUUUCAUACCAGCCCCUGUCCUUGAUCCCUAACUGUCUUUUAGACUGACCAAACACCCAUGCACUAUCCUCUGAGGAAGCCCCUCAUCUCAGAGGAGACCUUGUGGCUGGAAGCCGAGCUAGAUUUAAUCUUCUGAGAAGGCCCCUUGACUGAGGCCUCUGAAUUUCCCUUGGCUUAGGCUAGACCGAAGAAAUCGUAUACCCUUUUCUCUUUCUCUUCUUCUUAAUUUAUUCCUUCUAUUGUAAUUAAACCACCAUAAAAAUCUCAAACUGAAUUGGGUAUUUUAUUGGGAUUGAAUUUAAAUCCCUGGAGACAACUAAUAUAAUAUAUUCAGUCAACUAACUGAAUUUUACCCUCUAACAGUACCACCAUUUGUCCAGGCAUCAAUUUGGAAUCAUCCUGGACUACUCACUCUCACCCUACACAUACUCUCAGUUGCCAAGUCUUGGUUCUAUUUCUACAGAUUCUCUCAUCUAUCCCCUUUUCUACAUUCACACUGCUACCAUCCCUUAAUCAUGUAGACUAUUAUGAUAGUCUCCCAUUUUUCUCCCUAAUUCAGGUUUCUUCCUUUUCCAAUCUAUCUUCCACAAAGCUGCCAAAGUUAUUUUCCCAAAGGGAAGGUCUGACCAUGUCACUCUCCUCCUCAGUAAACUCCAGUGGCUCUCUAUUGCCUCUGGGAUAAAACAGAAAUCCCCUUGUUUUGACAUUUAAGUCCUUCACAGCAUGGCCCCCACCUCUCUUUCCUGUCUUAUUGCAUAUUAUUCCCUUUCUUAUAUUUUACACCCUAGCCAAAUUGGUCUUCUUAGGGUUCCUCAUACAUGACUCCCUUCUGUGUAGUUCUGUGUGUCCUUGGGCCUAAAAUGUUCUCCUUUCUCAAGUCUGCCUCUUAGAAUCUCUUGUAGCCAUUUAACAGCCAAGAACCACUUUCUCUAGAUAUUUAACUCCAGGUUACUUAACUUCUUUAAUCCUCAGUUUCUUCAUCUUUAAAAUGAGUGCAAGACUAGCACUUACCUAAUAUGGUUAUGAUUAGUUUCCUGAUGUCCCCUUCU
This is a long non-coding RNA of Monodelphis domestica (gray short-tailed opossum), 1531 nucleotides long. RefSeq lists it as uncharacterized. NCBI's taxonomy places the organism in Eukaryota, Metazoa, Chordata, Mammalia, Didelphimorphia, Didelphidae. The record is from RefSeq and is a predicted model, not a curated record.